CAUGGGGAUGAAUUGGAGAGCUUAAGGAAGGGACUGCAGUGUAGGAACCAGAAUCCUAAUUUAUUUACUCGACUGUUGAUAUCAUCACUUUUAUUUUUAAUCCUUUAGUUUUUUGGGACAUACAAUAUAUAUCACUUACUUUUAUAAUAGUUUUCAGGGCUUAGAGAAUGUUAAGACAUUUGCAGAUCUAUAGGAUAAAGUUAGGAAAGCCUCAAAACUAAGAGUUUAUUAAUGCUGAAUUAUUGUAUGUUCCUCCUCUUGCAUUAAUAAAUAGCAUCUAUAGUUUUUUCCUUCCACAAUCUUCAAAGUGCUAGGCAUAUAGAAAACACACAAAGCCCAAUAAAUAUUGUUGAAUUAAUGUAUAUUUCUUAAGGGAAAAGAUUAUAUUUUUUCUCUUUCAAUGAUUCUCCCUGACUCCUGCUAGGAAUGUUUUGCACACAGGGGCAGCCAGUAACUAUAAAGUAUCAAAAAUGUUUAUAUUUGAAUAUUACUAUGUAAGUAUUCCUUGGGGGAGCUGUUUUCACAAAUUCCAUCAUUUAUCUGUUCAUUCAGUAAUGGUUGUGUUCACCAGACAUUGUGCUAAUGUGAGAUGAUUAGUCUAAUGAUGAUUUUAACAAGUGGCUAACUCUUACUCUUCCACUCACAGCUCACACGUUGCUUUCCUUUUUGGCCUUCUAGACUGGGUUAGGUGCUUUUCCUUCAUAGCCUCUCUCUAAUUGUAUAGUGGUUGUCCUGUAGCCCUCAAUAGAUGGAGCUUCACAGGGGCAGAAGUGAAUCAUUCUCUGAUGUCCCAUUUACUUAUGUCCCAAAUCUUGUUUAUACAUGUGACUGGGUGAGAGUUUGUUGACUGUUUGUGGAACAAAUAUAAUCUUUAAUGACUGUAUUAUCAGAUAUCUGGCUUUGAAUGGAUAGUUUGGCUUUUAAAGGUGGUGUUCAGAUCAAGAAAUAAAAUACCAGAAUGAUAACAGUUUGGAGACAAAAGAUGAGCUAACAAGAAAGAACAAAUGAAAAGUUAUAAAAAUGCAAUAUAAAAUAUAAUAUGAAACGUGUAUUACCAUUAACAAGCAAUCAUAUUGUGUGUGUUCUUGUGUUUUUUUAUUGUGGCAAACUUUUACUGUGCAUCUAGUGUUUUUAUCGAGACUUUACAGGCAACCCUUCCAUACACACUGAGUGUGAGAACAGCAAGGGAGCAGCUGGGACCUUAGAUAUCAUUCAGUCCAGAUACUACUGGUCAACUAAAGACAUAAAACCAGAUUUGGGAGUGCACAAAGGCAGGCACAUUUCUGUGAUGCAGUCUUAUCUAUACCGCAGUGGGCAGAGGGGCCCCCUCUAACCCUGUCACCCCCAGUCUUUCCAACACACCAUCAUACUUUUCCAGUGACCCCCUCCCCCGCCCCAUGUACAGUUCAAGAAACAGCUGUGGGAUCUCAGUGAAUGGUGGGUGUUCCCCCUCUUCAUAACAGUGCUUCCCUGUGAACAUCCACAUGCUUAGGAGGAGGGGGAGAUGCCACAGUUCAGGUCUCCCCACAGUCUGCAAGGGUGACCCUUGGCAUAUUAAUGAUAAUAAUGAUAGUGGCUACCAUUCAUUGAGGAAUUGUGCUAGACUGAUUACGUAGGUUAAAUCAAGUUCUCACACAAACUGCAAGUUCAUAACCUUUACUCCCUUUUUACAGAUAAGGGGAAUGGGUGUUGGGGGAAGACUGUUUAUCAUGUUCAUGUCAUGGAGCCAAUAGUGGCAAAGCCAAGAUUCCUAUCAGGCUUCUCCAAGUGUGUUUUUCCCAGAUACCAUGUCACCUUUUAUAAAGUAAAGGGGAUACAUUUAUAUUUGUCAGGUAAAAUGUAUCAAGAAGAAUAAAGCAUAAUGCUUUCUAUAGAGUUUAUAUAUCUACCUAUUAUUAGAUACAUGACUAUGUGAGUAAGUAUAUGAUUCUUAAAGAGAAAAAAAUAACUCACCUUUUACAACAUAGUUUAAAUUUAUUACAAUAAGUUAGACUUUCAUGAAAAUAUGAAGCAGAAAAGCUAAAUUCAGGAACUUUUUAUUUUAAAUUCUUUAGUUACUAUUGCAUUAGUAGAGCAUACAUUUUUCUUGGGGGAGAACUUUGGUUGUAUGAUAAGGUAAACAACUUUUCUUAGUAAAGUGUACAUGGAAGAAAUUAUGGAAGUUGUGUAAUAUACCAAAUAUUUUCCUUUAAACCAGCAUAAAUGGCUAUCACUUCAUUAUUUUCAUAUUGAGUUAUUUUUUUAUAAAUUUAAAAAGACUAAUUAAAAUAUAAUUAUUAAUGAAGGCAUGGUGUUAUUCAGAGUUUAAGUUAAUAAAGAACUGUUUACUUAAAUACCUAACCUAAAUAAUACAAAAAAAUAUGGUUUUGAUGCUCUCAGAACCAAAUAAGUAACAAUUAUUAUCUUUAGGCUGGAAAUGGACACUGAUCAGUUUAAAAGUAUUUUUCAAAAUUUGGCAAUGUUGUUUGUAACAAAUGCAAUGAAAUAUACUAUAAUAUCCGUAUUUAUUUGAUGUUUAGUUUUUAGGCCCCCUCCCAAACUCCUUAAGAAUAAAUAGAAUAUAUUUAAACGAUAAAUGUAGUUAUUUACUUUAUAUGGAGACAUGUGCCAUUAUACAGUUGGAGGCUAGAGACAGCACAUGUGUUUUGGAUUGGGUGACAGCACUGAUGUCAUUCUGUCCUCAGAACCUAUUUGGCAGAGAACUUAAAAGAAUUGCAGAACAAGAAGGAAGUCUAGUAUUUUAGCAUAAACGGAUUUUUGUCUCUCAAGAAAAUUUGAUGAAGUGUAUUAUUUUCCCAGAAGCUCCUUAGGCCCCCCUUGUGCCUGUCUUAAAUUUCUCCAUACCUCUAGCUAGUGCUUUGCAUGUUAGUUAAGUAUGAAUUGACUUGAGUUAAAUUUAGCUUGGUUGGAUCAGGCUACCCUCAACUGGCUUCCAAAGGCAUGGAGACAGAGCAUUCCUUUUCCCUAACUAGUGUGUGGAGCUACCUAUUCUAUACAGCUCUUGGAAAUUUUCUCAGAUAGUCACAAUGAGUGGAAAAUGGCUAGACAUUAAAACAGAUCAUUACAAACUUAAUAAGCCAACCUUGUCAUAUUUCUUUCCCUUCAUUCUGGAUUGGAGGAUCAGCUGUUAUGCCUAAAUAUAAACUUUGAGCUACACUACUCUUUAAUGUAUGUCUUUAAUGUGGUAUUUGUCUUUAAUAUAAACUUUGAGCUAUACUACUCUUUAAUGCUUGUCUUUAAUGUGGUGUUUUUACAUAUGGAUGAAGGUACACUCAUUUUACUGGGUUGACUUCUUGAAGCUGAGCUGACCUAAGUGGUUAUAAAAGUUCUGCAUAUAUAGAUGUUAGCAGAUAUUGUUACAUGUGCAAAUCCUGAAUAGAAGCGAGAUGUAAUUUCCACUUCGAACAUACAAGUAGCAAAUUUUAGGAGUAGGAGUUUUCUUUUUAGCUUGUGGUGAGAAUAACACCAUGUCCUUUGUUUUCAGGUAGCAGGAGGAAGAAGUGACUGACAGAGCCUGACUCCUACCAUGGAUAAGAUGAGUGUUCCAGUAUCAUCAGAUUGGAGAAACUGACCCAUUAGGCCUUACAAGCUUGGUCUGUAAUGAUCCUAACACUCCCUCCUGCUGCAUUCAUUUUGGUUAUCUCAGGACAAAUAGCUUACCCACAUUCCCCCUUGCAGGGUUUUCAGUAUUCUUUGAUAUGUUCCUCCUGUGGAACUGCAGACACCUUAUCAGGCAGAAGAGUUUGGUCGUUGUACUUCCAUUUUAUACAUGAGAAGACUGAACACAACAUCAUAGCCAAAGUUAUUUUGUUACUUUGUGUAGGCAGUACCUUUUACUUCAUAGACACUCAUACAAUACUUUUAAAUUUCUCUAUCUAUUGUAAAUCAAGGUUAUUUUGAAACACAGAAGUGCUGAGGUCUGUUCCCAGUACCAUUUGUGAGUAAAAAUGCAACUCCUCAUUUUAUGAAUAAUCUUAAAAAAAGAUAUAUUAAAUGCUUAACUAUGCAUGUUGCUGCACUGCGCUCAGUCUGUACUUUUCUAGAAUCAAGACAUUCAGUAAGUUGUUCUACUGUUUCUGACUUUAUAACAAAUUAUAAUUUAAUGUUGAUUUGAAGGUACAGAAGCAAUCAGACAAAUCCAGAUUUCUAGAAAAAUGAUUAGUUUUGAUUAAAAUGAAAAAGGAUUUGGAUUCCAACAUGUAUAGGGGUGCUAUGGAUACCUAUAGCUGGGGGAAAAUAAAUGCAAACAAAAUUGAAUACAUUAUUAUUCACUGUUUAACUGAAUAGAACUUAUUAGCUUAAAACCUGGUUUUGUAAGGGCUCUCUCAUGUUUUUAAUGUGCUAAUUUCAAAGAUAUUAUUACUAAGUGCUUGUGAUAAUAGUGUUUGAAUCGAUCUGACAGUGCUCUCUAACUAUUUGAAUAUCAUCCUUUAUGAAUGUACACAUAUACCAUAUACUGUUUACUUCUUAUUUACUUAUUCUUAAAGCUCAUCUACACAAAACCCACAUGAAAAUACAGGUAUUUAUGUGAAUGUUUAAUCUAUAUUGUAGUAAACAGGGGUAUGUUUCAGAACAUCUGGAUGAUUGUUGUUAUGCUUGCUGAAUGAAGCCCAAUGUGGAAAGUUGAAUAUAUAAAUACAGAGGAUGUAGUUCAAAACCACCUAACUCAAGCAAUAAUGUCCCUACUCUUCAGCUAUAGCAAUACAUAAAGGUUAUAUUUAUGUACACUUUAAGGGUUGAUAAGGAAAUGAUUAAAUCCAACAUAAUAACCCUGAUAGAGAGGUAUAAUUAAAUAGAAUAUCCAGUUUUCACCAUCUGUAUGCAUAAAUUUAUGAGGAAUAGAUUUCAACUUAAUAGAAGGAAAAACCUUCAGAGGAAAAUAACUGGGAAGUUUGAUUGGAUGGUCUCAAGAGGCAACAGAUUUCUCAAGAGGCAUCAGUGGAGAUGACCAAACAGAUGUUAUAGUGGGGGUUCCUAGUUACCUGGGGGUUCCCCAUGGUUCCCUGCUAAUAGACGAUAUUCACUUGAAGAGAAGAAUCUCAGAAUAUUAUGUCUGGAAAGAGCUUCAGAAAUCAUCUGGUUCUGCCUGUUCACUUUUCAGAGGAGGAAACUAAGCCCCAGGGAACCCAAAUGUGUCAUCCAACGUCAAAUAGCUAAUAUGUUUCAGGGAGAUUUUUGACAGGGGUCUAUUCUUUUGAUUUUAUUUAGAGCCAAAUGAUUGGGGACUGUUUUCUCCAAGAAAUGUUUGCUUGUGUAGAGUAGAGAAAACUGACAUCUACUGAACACAGAAAGGCUUUUAUCUCAGGGUAAUGAUCUGACAGGUGUAACUCACAAAGAACUGGUUUUGUACAUGAAUAAUUAAGAUAAGUCAUUUUAAACUUCUCUUCCUUUUUAUAAAUGCAUGUACUUCUGUGGCAGUGGGAAUGUGUCAUAGGCUUUAUAAUGUAAGGAUUUCUAAGAAAGAGCAGAAGGGAAGGUCAGGAUUAGGUUGCAAAUGGGAGAUAAGUACUAAGAGUUCUAAAUUCAUUUCCCUUCGUUAUCAACCAUUCCUUGUGGGAUAUGAGGUAAGAUAAGGAAGGCAGAACUAGUUUAAAAGCACUAGAAGAGCCCGUCAGGCUGAUAAAAACAAAGUAUUCCCAAAACAAAAUAUUCCCUUGCUGACUGCUGACUGAUCAUUAGCCACAGCUUGGAGCCUUCUGGGUGCCCUACCCCCCACAGCACACUCACCACCCCGGCUGCUCCACUGCUUCCACAUACACACAGACUUCCUGACAUUGAAGCAGCUGAAGAGUUAACAUCUUCUCUUUGUUGACUGGAUACUGAAAAUUAAUUUCUAGCCACAAUGAUGUGACUUUUCAACAAACUUAUUUCAGGUUAGCAAAGGCGAUCUCCAGGAUAUGUUGUUUCGGUGAGUCAGUGAGUCCAGUUAUUUGGUAAUGACUGUAAAGUCGAGGGAAAAAUAUUUCUUCACUUAUGAAGGCCUUUUGUUAAGUCUUUAAAGCAUCUCAUGUAUUCAAAAAUAUUUGCAGAACAUUCUUUAGAUGACUUCGUGACCAGGUUGUACAGAUAAUGGAGGCAUUUUUUGUUUUGUUUUGUUUUUUAAUUUUCUGGUUGGUGGAAAGGAUAAAAGAUUUUUCUCUUAGGACCUUGGCUCUUACAUAUAUGAGGCACUGAAAUAAUAAAACAACUAUCAUCUGUGAGUGCUUACUGUAUGCCAAGCGCUGUGCUGUGUCCUUUAGACAUAUCAUCUCAUUUAAUUCUUGUAAUAACUGUGAGAUAUGCUUUGAUUAUCCCUUUUACAGCUUAGGAGACUAGAGAUUCAGAGCAGUGAAGUUACUUAAAUAAAUAACAUUAUCAGCUCAUAAGCGGUAAAACAAGGAUACAAACCUCAGUCUAUUUAGUGCCACUGGGGGUUGUAAGGAAUCAGAAGCUGGACUCCAGCCCUGUCUCUCAAGAACAUCUGGGCCUGGGCUCCUUCACAGGCUAUAGCUUAACUUAGGCCCUUUCUAAGCCCUGGUGCAGGAUGUAGGCCAGUUCCCAGGAUCAUCAGUCUUGUUCCAGAGACUCCAGGGCUAAAGUAUAGUUCAACAGCCAUGGAGCUAGACAAUACCUGUCUAGAAACAUCAGAGCUGGACAAUACCUGUAUGAUGUGGGGAAGCCUCUACAACUGAGACUAUUUUGUUAAUAGCCAGAUAUCUUGCUGACAGCAGAAUAUCUUGUUAAUGCCUUCAUUUGUUAAUAGCUGGUCCUACCUCACCUCUUUGUGAGCCCUUUUCUGUUCCCACCCUUUCAUCAUUCGUUUUUGUCUCAUCUCUCUUCUCCUACUUCCCAGUGUAAUUCUAAAUCACCUUUCUUGAUCACCAUAGGAACAUACAUUACAACAUAAAAAACACUAAAUUAUGGAGGGGUUUGAAAAUUAACUUCAAGUGUAGGAGCAAAUUCCAUUUUUCUUCUUUCUUGCUCCCCAGGAUUA
Manis pentadactyla (Chinese pangolin) is the source of this 6973-nucleotide long non-coding RNA. RefSeq lists it as uncharacterized. Lineage: Eukaryota; Metazoa; Chordata; Mammalia; Pholidota; Manidae. The record is from RefSeq and is a predicted model, not a curated record. The transcript has 4 exons.